RNAcentral lists this long non-coding RNA (1394 nucleotides) under Mastacembelus armatus (zig-zag eel). RNAcentral's name for it is "lncRNA (ENSMAMG00000024267.1)". The record is from RNAcentral. Lineage: Eukaryota; Metazoa; Chordata; Actinopteri; Synbranchiformes; Mastacembelidae.
CAACCCUGUCUGUCAGAAAUUAAUUAUAUUAUAUUAUUAUAUUAUAUUACACAACUAAACAGCUACAGGAGAUAUGUUUUGUAAGAAGUGUUCACAAAAUUACAUUCAUGUUCUGUCCGAAGUCAACUUUUUCAUAUUUGCUGUUGCAGCUGAGUUGCAUAUGAACAGAAUUUCUGGGAGACAGUCUUGCCCAUACAUGUUGUUUGGUGACAGCAGGCAGGCCUAUCCUCUUUCUCUUUAAUUCUUCUACAUAUGACAGUAAUAUGAUAGUAGAUGUUGCUGAUAAAAAUGUCUGUAUAUGGUCUGAUGUGCUGUAUAUUUCCUCUGCAUUAGGUAUAAAGAUGAUGUGAUCCUGGAUAUAUCCUCUGGAAGGUACCUGGUUAAAGCCAAAGGUGGAAUCCAUUCUCUGGAGAUUUCAAGAUGCUCCACCAAUGACACAGCCCAGUAUACUGCAGUGGCUAGUAACAUCCAUGGACAAGCCUCUAGCCAGGCAGCCGUUAUUGUCAAGAGUAAGUCCUCCUAUGUGAUUACCCUGUUUCUGAUGUUGUAGUGUGAUUUUUAUCAUCCAGGCAAAUUACUUUGCUAAACAUGUAGUUAUUAUAUGGACACAUUACAUCUUUGAUGGCCACUGGUUAUCAUCUGCCUGAUUGCUUACCAGUUUUAUCAAUUAGUUACUGCUAAUAAUGUUCAACUAUCAGUAUGUUUGUUUUUAAUCAUGCAGGGUUCAGGCAGGAGGAUGAGUUCUGUCCAUAUGCUUGGUUUCCUUUUACAGAGGUCAUGCUCCCCCAGGUCCACUACACUAAAAUUCACAUUACUUUUCUGGAGCAGUUUGGGCCUGUGUUUGCCACUGAGGGAGACUCUGCCACUCUGUCUGCAACCAUGGCUGUGAAUCCCAACCUCGCCAACCUACAGCCUGAGGCACAGUGGUAUAGAGAUGGUAACUGUUUUAAGUAGCAUUUUAUGAACAUAUAUAUGAGCACACACAAUAUUAAGUUAAUCUUUUAUAAACAAUGGUUAUAUGCAGUCAAACUGCAUGUAUAAUUUCUAAAAUUAUAUUGCUAUAGCAAUAGGAUUAAAAGAUUUAUGCAGUGAUAUUGAAUUCAGGAUCUUGCUUUAAUCCUAGAAACACAUCUGUUUGACUCUAAAUGGGUGAAGAUUGAAACUGGCAGAGGAUUCACCACCUUGACUCUUCCAAACCUCUACAAAGAUGAUGAAGGCCUUUAUACACUACGCAUGGUCACUAGAGGAGGCACUGCACAACACAGUGCAUUUGUCUCUGUUGCAGGUGAGGUGUGGUGGAUGACUGGACUGCCUGAUAAUUUUAAAUACAACAUUACGCUUGAAACUAAAAAUGUCAAACUAUCAUGAGUCUAAAGAGGGCACAUAGUUAAAUU